Molecule: ribosomal RNA, 114 nt
Filed under: Microcaldota archaeon
Lineage: Archaea; Nanobdellati; Microcaldota
Source: RNAcentral
GUCAGCGGCCACAGGAGGGGUGGCACGUCCGAUCCCAUUCCGAACUCGGAAACUAAGACCCCUUACGACGCUGCCGGUACUGCCGAAAGGCGGGAAAGCGUGUUGCUGCUGCCA